This 274-nucleotide ribosomal RNA is filed under the name uncultured bacterium. RNAcentral's name for it is "partial 16S ribosomal RNA". It matches the Rfam family "Bacterial small subunit ribosomal RNA", at positions 523 to 796 of the family's 1533-position model. The record is from RNAcentral.
AUACGGAGGCUGCAAGCGUUAUUCGGAAUCACUGGGCGUAAAGGACGCGUAGGCGGGUUGGCAAGUCAGAUGUGAAAUCCUACAGCUUAACUGUAGAACUGCAUUUGAAACUGCUAACCUAGAGUAUGGGAGGGGGAGAUGGAAUUAGUGGUGUAGGGGUAAAAUCCGUAGAUAUCACUAGGAAUACCGAAAGCGAAGGCGAUCUCCUGGAACAUAACUGACGCUAAGGCGUGAAAGCGUGGGGAGCAAACAGGAUUAGAUACCCUAGUAGUCC